This is a non-coding RNA of Paramuricea clavata, 1805 nucleotides long. The record is from the annotation of a GenBank genome assembly. NCBI's taxonomy places the organism in Eukaryota, Metazoa, Cnidaria, Anthozoa, Malacalcyonacea, Plexauridae.
GUUUUGAAAUAUAUAAAAAAAUAAAAAUGUCUGCAGAAAGUAUUACUUUAUUUCAUAACGGAUUGGAAAAAGCGUUAGAGCGACUAGGUAAGCAAAAUAUUGAGCUAAAGGAAUGUCAGUACGAAGCAGUGAAGGCUGUACUAGUUGUUGAAUGAUCGGAAGGACAUAUUUUGCGUCUAGUUGCCUACUGGCCAUGGAAAGUCACUCAUGUCGUGAAAAUACGAAUUCUACUGGUAACUCAGUAACUGUUAUUUCGCCAAUAUGGUCGAUCAGAUUACACACAUGGAUGUUAGUGUUUUGAACUUUGAAGGCCAGCAGGGAAACAACGCUACCAAAGCACAGCAUGCGAUCGGAGAGGGGCUCUAUUUAUCAUCAGAUUGCUAAUCAGCCUAAUCCAAGUCAGAUAAUAUUUGCUCACCCAGAAGCCUUAUUGGAAGAUAAAAUCAUAUCAAGAUUCUGUUAAAGCUAUUGUGAUUGACGAAGCACAUCUAGUGGAAGAAUGGUAAGAAUUUUAUUUUAAUAUAUGGUACUGAGUUUUAAAUUAUAAUAUGGUUUAAGUGCAAAACAUGUAAAAAAAAAACCCAUUCAGACUGAGCCUGAACUAUUAUUAUUAUAUAGCAAGUUUCAAAGUUCACUUUUCCUAUAGUUUUAUUGGUCAAGAGUACAGUAUGUCAAGUGAGAGUCAAGAAAUUAAGCUGUCUCCCUCGGAGUUCCCUGUGAGCAGAGGUGUCUAGAGCACCGGAGCCAGCAGGGAACCCUCGGAGAGACUCCACAGAUGCUCGGCAGGGAGAUAACCUAUUAUCCAGGGCAAUCUUGUUCCCCAAGCCUGCAAUCCUUGGGAAGGAAUGUGAGGCUCUGGGAUAAUCCGUUUCAGGGAGGAAUCUGAUUGGCUGUUGAUAUGGAAUGUGCAGUUCGGUCUUAGCCAGGAUUCCUGCCUUCCGACAAUGGAUUUUCCCAGAGGCUCACAUUCCUUCGUGAGGAUUACAGGCUUGGGGAACAAGAUUGUGUCCAGGGGUGAAUAACAAAAAAUCACACAUGUACAUGUUGUUAUGUUGUUUACAUUGUUUUCUGCUUGAGAACUGUGAGUCGGUAUGACAAUAAAAUUGGUUUCUUACAAAAUCAAGUAAACAAGUUUUCUUUUCUUUGAAACUUGCUAUAAAAUAAAAUACUUAUUGACUGGUCUCCUCAUGAGAUAUCCUGUUAUGUGGACCCUCAACCACCAUUGGAAAACAUUGAUGGUUGAGGGUCCACAAAACAGGAUGUCUCCCGAGGAGACCAGUCGACUAAUAAGUAAUAAUUAUAUCAAUAUAUUUAUUAACCAAUUAAAUUGCAUUGCACCUUACUUUGUUAUUUUACUUGACUGUCUAAUGAUCUCUAAUGCCAUAUGAUUUUACUCAUAUGGCAUUAUAGUCAUGGGGUCGGAGGGGAUAGUACUGGAGAGUGGAGAAUACAUCAUAAUUAUUUGAGUAAAAUAUUUGGUGUUAACCCUUAAGUGGUCUAAUAAUGUAAGACAAUUUUACUCAUCAAGUGGUGAGUGCUGGCUUACUCAAUGGGUAAAAGAGUAGGAAGCAUGAUGUUGGUGCAUUGCAGCUGGACUUGUUAAUCAUUAACAUAUCUUUUUCUUGUUUAGAAAACAUUUUAGACCUUGUUAUGGGAAAAUUGGUAUGCUGACAAGUAUUUUUCCCAAGAUCCCAUUUUUGGCAAUGACAGCAACUGCCACGGUGCAGAUGAAAAAGGAUAUUACAACCAGUCUCGGAUUGAUCAUUAUAAAAUAACAUGUAUAUAACGCGUGUUCUGAUUGGUCG